RNAcentral lists this ribosomal RNA (460 nucleotides) under uncultured bacterium. RNAcentral describes it as "partial 16S ribosomal RNA". It matches the Rfam family "Bacterial small subunit ribosomal RNA", at positions 338 to 795 of the family's 1533-position model. The record is from RNAcentral.
CCUACGGGGGGCUGCAGUGAGGAAUAUUGGUCAAUGGACGAGACUCUGAACCAGCCAAGUAGCGUGAAGGAUGACGGCCCUAUGGGUUGUAAACUUCUUUUAUAAAGGAAUAAAACGCGGCACGUGUGCCUUUUUGCAUGUACUUUAUGAAUAAGGAUCGGCUAACUCCGUGCCAGCAGCCGCGGUAAUCCGGAUGAUCCGGGCGUUAUCCGGAUUUAUUGGGUUUAAAGGGAGCGUAGAUGGGUUGUUAAGUCAGUUGUGAAAGUUUGCGGCUCAACCGUGAAAUUGCAAUUGAUACUGGGAGGCUGGAGUACAGUGGAGGUAGGCGGAAUGCGUGGUGUAGCGGUGAAAUGCUUAGAUAUCACGAAGAACCCCGAUUGCGAAGGCAGCUUACUAAACUGUGACUGACAUUGAGGCUCGAAGGUGUGGGUAUCAAACAGGAUUAGAUACCCCAGUAGUC